This 371-nucleotide ribosomal RNA is filed under the name uncultured bacterium. RNAcentral describes it as "bacterial SSU rRNA". It matches the Rfam family "Bacterial small subunit ribosomal RNA", at positions 525 to 896 of the family's 1533-position model. The record is from RNAcentral.
ACGAAGGGGGCUAGCGUUGUUCGGAAUUACUGGGCGUAAAGCGCGUGUAGGCGGGCGUUUAAGUCAGGGGUGAAAUGCCGAGGCUCAACCUCGGAACUGCCUUUGAUACUGAAUGUCUUGAGUCCGGGAGAGGUGAGUGGAACUGCGAGUGUAGAGGUGAAAUUCGUAGAUAUUCGCAAGAACACCAGUGGCGAAGGCGGCUCACUGGCCCGGAACUGACGCUGAGACGCGAAAGCGUGGGGAGCAAACAGGAUUAGAUACCCUGGUAGUCCACGCUGUAAACGAUGGAUGCUAGCCGUUGGGGAGCUUGCUCUUCAGUGGCGCAGCUAACGCUUUAAGCAUCCCGCCUGGGGAGUACGGUCGCAAGAUUA